This 328-nucleotide unclassified non-coding RNA is filed under the name soil metagenome. Its description in RNAcentral is "partial contains 5.8S ribosomal RNA, internal transcribed spacer 2, and large subunit ribosomal RNA". The stretch from base 1 to 120 matches the Rfam family "5.8S ribosomal RNA", at positions 35 to 154 of the family's 154-position model. The record is from RNAcentral.
GAUGAAGAACGUAGCGAAAUGCGAUAAGUAAUGUGAAUUGCAGAAUUCAGUGAAUCAUCGAAUCUUUGAACGCACAUUGCGCCCCUUGGUAUUCCGAGGGGCAUGCCUGUUCGAGCGUCAUUAUAACCCCUCAAGCUCAGCUUGGUGUUGGGGCCUGCCGCACGGGCAGCCCUUAAAAUCAGUGGCGGUGCCAUCUGGCUCUAAGCGUAGUAAUUCUUCUCGCUAUAGAGUCCCGGUGGAUGCUUGCCAUUAACCCCCAAUUUUCUAUGGUUGACCUCGGAUCAGGUAGGGAUACCCGCUGAACUUAAGCAUAUCAAUAAGCGGAGGG